CCUCUUUGCAGCUGCUGUCGUGAGAUUGUCAGUGAAAUUGUUCGAAAGAAACGGUCAGAGAUGGAUUUAGAAGCUGAUUUUGAGUUGGAGGAGCUGAAUAAGAUCAAGACUGAGUGCUGUAAUUGGAUUCAAGUGUGCAGCCUUCUCCUUUCAGAGAUCAAAGGCACUCCUGUCUCUUUUCUGGAUUUAGAGGAACUGAGAAAACUCUUUGGAUCAGAGGAAUUGCAACUGAAGAAGCUUAAGGACACGACCAUUUCAGAGGGGCUUAGAGCUGAUGAUGCCAACAGCUACAAGAAACCCAUAACACAGGAAGAAACAUUAGCAGUAAAGGAGGAAAUAGCUCUUACACAGGUGACUACAAGCUGCAAUAUGCCACGUGCCAGCAGGGCCUUUUUUGUUGUUGUUGUUGCUUGGUGCAUGUGAAACACAUCCUCUUAGCUGCCCUGAAUGUCACUAAGCUUGUGUUAUUUCUCCUACUUCUUGUUCAUUUUCUUUCUUAGCAGCAGCCCAGUGCUGGUGCAGAUGAUCUGAGUGAAGGUGAUGAAGCUACUGAAGACAUGAUAAGAUACGUAGGACACGACUCCAACAUCCACCUAAAGUCCCUGAAGUCUGACAUCAUUUCAGUUACAGGGGUAGGAGGCUCUGCUACACUGAGGGCUUUAGCAUGCAUGGCAGAGCUCUGGAGCUGGGUUUUAGCUCUUGUCAGGCAGUGUAACGCUCAUCUCAGACCUGCUGGGGCAUUGCAAGGUGCUGGUGUUCUCUUAUUCCUCUCUUCUUGCCACUAUAAAAUACUCAUUAGCACAGCUAUUGCUGCCUCAGUUUAUCCACCUGACCCAUGUGUUACUGCCCUGUACCAUGGACUCAGGACCAGUAACAGGAUGGGUGUAGUCUGAACCAGGACUACCAGCAGAGACUGGGGGAGUCCUGGCAGCAUUUCCUGGGACGGUGAAAAUGAUUUGGUGCUGGACACACGUAGGAGGAG
RNAcentral lists this long non-coding RNA (982 nucleotides) under Anas platyrhynchos (mallard). RNAcentral's name for it is "lncRNA (ENSAPLG00020017328.1)". Lineage: Eukaryota; Metazoa; Chordata; Aves; Anseriformes; Anatidae. The record is from RNAcentral.